Molecule: ribosomal RNA, 119 nt
Filed under: Pteropus alecto (black flying fox)
Lineage: Eukaryota; Metazoa; Chordata; Mammalia; Chiroptera; Pteropodidae
Source: RNAcentral
GUCUACAGCCAUGCUACCCUGAACAAGCCCGAUCCCAUCUGAUCUCGGAAGCUAAGCAGGGUCAGACCUGGUUAGUACUUGGAUGGGAGACCACCUAGGAAGACCAGGUGCUGUAGGCG